UCUUUAAUCUUCACCAGCACAUGUAACCUUUGUUAGAGAAUAAUUAUGUUAUUUCGAGUUAAUAAUAGUCCAAAAGGCGAUGAUAAUAGUUUAACGUGGCAGAUUGUUCAUGUUUUAGGUUGCUGAAAUAAUCAUUUUCUCAUUUUUUACUUUUUUCAUGCUUCACUCUCGGGUUUGACUGUUUCUGAAAGGAACAGAUGUCAGAAGCACUUCAAUAAUAACGCACACAUUAUUAUCAUCAGUUCAAGAAGUUCGCUAUUUCAAAUACAGAUGUGCACACCAGUGAUCGCGAGCUCCUUGGAGAAAGUGAAACCGCUUGCACUUUUAGACGGCCUCGUAAAACAAAAACAGGACACGGCGAAUUUUGUUCUUCUUAACUUUGUGGCUGUAUAACAAACGACAAGGUUUGUUUGAGCUCGGGUCAACCAUGGCUCGUUAUUAUAUGCAUAUAAUAUUACUGUGUAAUGUCUCGGAUGUGUAUUUGAAAAUGGCAGUUUCUUUGUUUUCAUUUUCCUGCUUGUGUACGCGUGAUUGACGUUUCUCUGUAAACCAAUAGCAUUCAGAUGUGCAUCUAGCUCUGCCUUUUAGUACCCUUCUGACAUGCUAGGUACUCUUUGCAAAGAGUACCCAAAAAGUGGUACGGUUCGAUUCGCUUUUAGGUACAUUUUAACAGCAGAAACGGCCAUAAAAGCGUACCGAACCACUUAGUGGAAACGGGCCAUAGGAUAAUGGUAACCAUCGACAUCCAUAGUACUUGUUUUCCUACUUCGGGAGUCAGUGGUUUUCAUCUUUAUUCAAAUGUUCAACUUGAAAAAAGAAACUCAUAAAGGUUUAUAACUACCUGACAGAGAGCAAAUAGUGAUUUGAAUUUUCGGGUGAACUAUCUUUUUAAGCCUCAAAUAUGCCACUCUGUAACUGUAACAGAACAACUGCAAAGUAACGAUUUUGUUCUGUCUCUUAUCUGUCUGGAGAAUCCUGCAGGGCACAAAAUUUGAGGCUGCACUUUGGAACCACAUCUGAACCUGUGCUGCAGGCAAGAAAUUAGGCACCUUUUGUUCUCCUUCCCUGAAGAAACGUGACACUGCGGCUCCCCCUCCACCGCCCCAGAGCACAUGACAGGAGGUUUCAACAGGUCGGCGUCUUCUGCUGAACCACAUGGUCUGCUUACAGUCUGUGUGUUUAAUUUUCCAAACGGCCCAGCGUGAGGAUGUCGCAGGCCAGGAAUCACAUUUCUGACAGAGAUGAGACUACUGUGCGAGCUGAUUUCCUUCACAGCUGUUACUCGCUAGCUUUCCAGGUGCCAAUGACAAAUACACGCGGGACAGAUUGCUGUUAAACUUUACUGGAAGAAGGCAUUCAAGCGUGCCAAAUAGGUUCCCUGCUUGCAUACCUUUGCAAAGGAUGACUGGGCAUUUGAUAUACGAGCGCUUUAGACUUGGUUUGGGAUUAUGCUGCAAAUAAUGUACACAAGGUCUAAAAAGUGCGAAUCUCUUUUCGGUUUGCUGUAUAUCUUUCAAUUUCAGUCUGAUGAUGCAAGCAAGUAUAUGAUUAUGAGUUUGGCCUGUGGCGCAAUAUAAAAAUGAGAUGACAGACAGGCAAGAGACGAACAACUGCGUUCCAUUCAUUUGUAAUUGUUGUUUAGUUAUGGCUGUAUCUCUAGCGGGUAAAUAUAACACAUAAAUUAACCAAACGCAACAGCCAAGUUCUUUUGGCACAGCUCUUUGGGUUUGUUUAUUUGUACGCAAUUAUAUUCGGACAUGAAAUUGUUGAAGGCGAAAAGCCUGUAGUCAUAUCUGUCCAAGUUUCACACAGCGUGUCCGAGCAGAAAGUCUCCCUUGAGAUCAUUGGCAAAUCGGCAGAAUUUGCCAAUCCUGGAGCUAAAUGACAGUCUGGCAUCACCUAUUGUACUUGGCUCGAAAUGUUAAAUCUUUAAACUGUGAGUGCCAGAAUUCAAGCCUAUGAAGGUAUUUCAAUGCUAUGUUUGUAUAACUGUGCGUAUUGGGGGAAUAAAAAUGGAUCAGGAGGACAGCGAGCCAAAAGUCUCUGAAUCCUAAUGCGGGCAAGGACGCUUGACCUCUCUCCCUCUUUCUCUCCCUCUCUCCGUCUGUCCUGCCCAGCUAGUAAAACCACGCUGAAACCGAAUACCACAGGAGGCUAGAAGCGUCCCUCUAAAUUCAUCCCCAUGCUUGACGAACAGCUCUUGAUAGAUUGGCUCCACAGACAUUCUGCUGAAUCACAAGGGCUCGACUGUGUGCCCACUGCAAUCACCGAAGGGGUAAACCAGCAACCGCACUCAUCAGAGACCUUCAGAUUGAGACAAACAGGUUUCUGCACCUGUGUGUGAGGGGGUUGUAUUUGUGUACAAAUGUUCAACCAUUUCAAAGUCUAAUACGUGAAGUCUACAAGGCAGUUCUGUAUACUCAUGUGGCGCUUCUGUUCGUGUAGCUCAACUAGUAGAGCACUGAGCUGUGAACCCUGAAGCUGAGAGUUCGAAUCCCAGGGAGAGCAUGAAUAGAAGCAUCUGUCAAAUGCAUACAUGUAAAUAAACAUGCACGCUGUGCACAA
This is a non-coding RNA of Danio rerio (zebrafish), 2565 nucleotides long. Lineage: Eukaryota; Metazoa; Chordata; Actinopteri; Cypriniformes; Danionidae. The record is from RefSeq and is a predicted model, not a curated record.